UACAGAGGGUGCGAGCGUUGUCCGGAAUUAUUGGGCGUAAAGAGCUCGUAGGCGGUUUGUUGCGUCGGCCGUGAAAACUCAGGGCUUAACUCUGAGCCUGCGGUCGAUACGGGCAGACUUGAGUUCGGUAGGGGAGACUGGAAUUCCUGGUGUAGCGGUGAAAUGCGCAGAUAUCAGGAGGAACACCGGUGGCGAAGGCGGGUCUCUGGGCCGAUACUGACGCUGAGGCACGAAGGCCAGGGGAGCAAACGGG
RNAcentral lists this ribosomal RNA (253 nucleotides) under uncultured bacterium. RNAcentral describes it as "partial 16S ribosomal RNA". It matches the Rfam family "Bacterial small subunit ribosomal RNA", at positions 524 to 776 of the family's 1533-position model. The record is from RNAcentral.